CAGGGCUCAAGGAAAAGCAAGAAGGUCAAAGUGACCAGAGCACAGUAUGCAAGGAAGGCAUGGCAGGAAAUGAGGCCACACUGGGCGGGGCAUUGUAGACCACAGGAGGAGUUUGGGAUCUUAUUCUAGGCAUACAGUAAAGCCACGAGAGGAUUUUGAGUAGUGGAGUGACAUGGUUUGAUUUAUGGUUUUCAGACGUCACUAUGACUGCUGUGUGGAGAACAGACUAGUGAGGAGAAAGAAGGAAGCAAGAAGACCCACGAAACGGCAGCAGUAGCCCAGGCAGGUGGGGUUGGCUGGCUUCACACACUGCCGUAGUGGUCAAGGUCAUGAGAAGCCAUCAAAUUCAGCGUAUCUUUUGAGUAUGGAGCCAACGGAACUUGCUGAAGGAUUGCAUAUGGGGUGUGAGAGAAAAUGAUAAGCUGAGGCCCUGACACCAUGUUCCUGUCACCUUCCUGUUGUGGCCAUGAACGAUGCCUUGAGCUCAGCUGUGCCUGGAUGCUUGGACUCAGCUGCUGCAGCUCAGAGACUCUGGACGAGCCCUUCAGCAUCAGACCAUCUCUUCUGAGAUUCUGCUCA
RNAcentral lists this long non-coding RNA (579 nucleotides) under Pan troglodytes (chimpanzee). RNAcentral describes it as "long non-coding RNA NONPTRT010462". The record is from RNAcentral. Lineage: Eukaryota; Metazoa; Chordata; Mammalia; Primates; Hominidae.